This 482-nucleotide ribosomal RNA is filed under the name uncultured bacterium. RNAcentral's name for it is "partial 16S ribosomal RNA". It matches the Rfam family "Bacterial small subunit ribosomal RNA", at positions 30 to 507 of the family's 1533-position model. The record is from RNAcentral.
AUUGAACGCUGGCGGCAUGCCUUACACAUGCCAGUCGAACGGUAACAGGUCUUCGGAUGCUGACGAGUGGCGAACGGGUGAGUAAUACAUCGGAACGUGCCCGAUCGUGGGGGAUAACGAGGCGAAAGCUUUGCUAAUACCGCAUACGAUCUACGGAUGAAAGCGGGGGAUCUUCGGACCUCGCGCGGACGGAGCGGCCGAUGGCAGAUUAGGUAGUUGGUGGGAUAAAAGCUUACCAAGCCGACGAUCUGUAGCUGGUCUGAGAGGAUGAUCAGCCACACUGGGACUGAGACACGGCCCAGACUCCUACGGGAGGCAGCAGUGGGGAAUUUUGGACAAUGGGCGAAAGCCUGAUCCAGCCAUGCCGCGUGCAGGAUGAAGGCCUUUGGGUUGUAAACUGCUUUUGUACGGAACGAAAAGCCUCUUUCUAAUAAAGAGGGGUCAUGACGGUACCGUAAGAAUAAGCACCGGCUAACUACGUG